GAUGAACGCUGGCGGCGUGCCUAAUACAUGCAAGUCGAGCGAACGGACGAGAAGCUUGCUUUUCUGAUGUUAGCGGCGGACGGGUGAGUAACACGUGGAUAACCUACCUAUAAGACUGGGAUAACUUCGGGAAACCGGAGCUAAUACCGGAUAAUAUUUUGAACCGCAAGGUUCAAAAGUGAAAGACGGUCUUGCUGUCACUUAUAGAUGGAUCCGCGCUGCAUUAGCUAGUUGGUAAGGUAACGGCUUACCAAGGCAACGAUGCAUAGCCGACCUGAGAGGGUGAUCGGCCACACUGGAACUGAGACACGGUCCAGACUCCUACGGGAGGCAGCAGUAGGGAAUCUUCCGCAAUGGGCGAAAGCCUGACGGAGCAACGCCGCGUGAGUGAUGAAGGUCUUCGGAUCGUAAAACUCUGUUAUUAGGGAAGAACAUAUGUGUAAGUAACUGUGCACAUCUUGACGGUACCUAAUCAGAAAGCCACGGCUAACUACGUG
RNAcentral lists this ribosomal RNA (497 nucleotides) under uncultured bacterium. RNAcentral's name for it is "partial 16S ribosomal RNA". It matches the Rfam family "Bacterial small subunit ribosomal RNA", at positions 28 to 507 of the family's 1533-position model. The record is from RNAcentral.